AUGCUUUCUUAUUCUCAGGACCCAGAAGGCAAUCGAAUACAACAGUGGGUGAAUGAGGAGUCUGUGGGAGGGAUUCUACAACUCUCCUUCCAGUUAAUCUCAGAGCCCAUCCUCGGAUGGUAUGAAAUCACCGUGGAGAUGCUCAAUGAGAAGAAAACAUAUCACUCCUUCUCUGUGGAAGAAUAUGUGUUACCCAAAUUUCAAAUGACUGUGGAUGCACCAGAAAAUAUCUUAGUUGUGGACUCUGAAUUCAAAGUGAAUGUCUGUGCCUUAUAUACCUAUGGUGAACCUGUGGACGGGAAGGUCCAACUUAGUGUGUGCAGAGAAUCUACGGCUUAUCAUUCAUGUGCUCAUCUUAUCAGUUCACUCUGUAAAAAUUUUACCAUUCAGGUAAGAGGUAUAUCAGCAAAAUUAUAAAUAGGUUUGCAUUAACUUUUUAUCCUCACCUUCCAUUUACCUUCCUUUCUUGUUUUCCUCUUUACAG
RNAcentral lists this long non-coding RNA (484 nucleotides) under Pan paniscus (pygmy chimpanzee). Its description in RNAcentral is "lncRNA (ENSPPAG00000045629.1)". Lineage: Eukaryota; Metazoa; Chordata; Mammalia; Primates; Hominidae. The record is from RNAcentral.